AUGUAUUUUUUACUCUAAGUGAGCACACAGCUUCAACCACAGGAGGUUGUGUGUUUAUUCUUUCUAAUGUCUCUGCAU
Bos indicus x Bos taurus (hybrid cattle) is the source of this 78-nucleotide microRNA precursor. The record is from Ensembl. NCBI's taxonomy places the organism in Eukaryota, Metazoa, Chordata, Mammalia, Artiodactyla, Bovidae.